ACAAGUUGCGUCCUUCAUCUG
RNAcentral lists this unclassified non-coding RNA (21 nucleotides) under Dictyostelium discoideum. The record is from RNAcentral. Lineage: Eukaryota; Evosea; Eumycetozoa; Dictyosteliales; Dictyosteliaceae.